Long non-coding RNA from Mustela lutreola (European mink), 4587 nucleotides. RefSeq lists it as uncharacterized. The record is from RefSeq and is a predicted model, not a curated record. The transcript has 4 exons. Lineage: Eukaryota; Metazoa; Chordata; Mammalia; Carnivora; Mustelidae.
GCAGAAUCCCCGACCACUUCCCCAUCAGGUAAAAUGGUGAAGAGGAGCAAUCGAGCGAUGGGAGCAAUGUCUAUCUCCACGGGGACUGACACAGAAAAAUGGCCAUUCACUGGAGCACAGAGAAAAUGAGGAGAUAAACCCUGCAGAGGCUCCUUGGGUUGGUGUUUAAAUUUCUGAAGUGCAUACAUGGAGGCAUCUUUGCUCUGCUUAAUUUGCUCGACGUUUUUGGGGCCACUUUACCUAUGCAGACAGAGAGGCUGGAACUAUAAAACCGCACUGAGGAGAUUAAAUACUCUCCAGAAGAACUACAUUCCAGAAACCUAUUUAUGAUGGGUUUCAAAAAGUUUUAGGCACAAGGAGAACACUGGGACCCAGCAUUUUUGGUGUCUAUUUUGGGCAGAAGCCUGGUGGCCGCUUGUGGAGUGAGAAGAAAACUGAGAACCAGAGCCAAUUUUGCUGAGUUCAUCUGAAGGGAAGGAGAAUCAUAAGAGAGAGAUCACCAGUUGGCAGAGAAAGAGGAAGGGAAGCAGGCUCCCUGCUGAGCAGAGAGCCUGAUGCGAGACUCGAUCCCAGGACCCUGAGAUCAUGACUUGAGCCAAAGGCAGCAGUUUAACCCACUGAGCCACUCAGGUGCCCAAGCUUCAUUCUUUUGCAUGUGGGUAUCCAGUUUUCCCAACAUCUUUUGUUGAAGAGACUGUCUUUUCCCUCUUGAGUGGUCUUGGCACUGUUGUCGAAGACUAUUUGCUCAUCCUUAUUUUGGGGCUCUCUAUUCUCUUUCAUUGAUCUCUGUAUCUAACUUUAUACCAGUAACACUCUGUUUUGAUUACUAUAGUUUUGUUAUAUUUUUGAAAUCAAGAAGUGUGUAUCCUCUAAAUUUACUCUUCUUUUCAAAUUUACUCUUCUUGUAUAUUUAGGGUCCCUUGAGAUUCCAUAUGAAUUUGUUAUGGAUUUUCUUUUGAAAGUGUAAUUUUACUAUACUGUACAUUUUACUUUACAUUUUUUCUCAUUAAAAUAUAUAUUGAAGAUAACUUUGUUUCGCAGAAUGGCUAUGCCAGCUUGCAUCCUCACCAACUCUUUUGAGGUUAUUUUUGUGUAUAGUGUAAGGAAAUGAUUCAGUUUCAUUCUUCUCAAUGUGGCUGUCCAGUUUCCCCAAAACUUGUUGAAGAGACUGUCUUUUUUUCCAUUGGACAUUCUUUCCUGCUUUGUCAAAGAUUAGUUGACUAUAGAAUUGAGGUCCGUUUCUGGGAUCUCUAUUCUGUUCCAUUGUUCUAUGUGUCUGUUUUUGGAACAUCUGUGUUUUUGAAGAAUAGUCUGAAAGGUUAAUUACUAGAAGUAGACAUAUUGGAUCAAAAGGUUAAUAGGAUAGAAGUUUCACAAGGGGAAGGAUUUUGUUCAUUGCUAUAUCCUCAGAGCCUAGAACAGAACAGUACCUGGUAUGUAUUAGGUGUUUAAUAAAUAUUCAUUUAAUGAUGAUAUAUAUACGAAAUUCCUAGAAUAUAGUUCUUGGGCUCAGUCUCAAAAAUUGAGAAGAUAUUUGCCAAGCAGAUCAUUGCAGACGCUGCUCAUUGGCUUAACUACUCAUGCAACAUCCUUCUCCCUAGCCAUCUUCAAGCUAUGGGUAUUCUGACCAAUGACUUAUAAGUGGAAAAGUGCUGAAGGGUGGGUUUAUGGAAAACUUUUGCUCUCUUAAUAAAAAGAAAAAAUUUCAGUAGUCACACAAUGAAUAUUUUAGCUCAUUCUUCCUGUAUGGAAAAUGGAUGUGAUGCUUGAGAAUUCAGUGACCAUUUUCAGAUGAAUCAGGAGGAGGGUGAAGGUCUGCAUGCUAAAUAAGAUAGCAAGGACCUUGGUCUGCCAGCGUCAUUGGGCAAUUGUAUCAACCAUGAGAUGUCAACCUCUGUACCUCUUUCUUAUUUGUUUAAACAGCUACUAGUUGCUUUUCUGUUAUUUAUUGCUAGAGGGAUUCCUAGCUCAAAUGAGACAGAUGCCAAAUAUAUUCUAAGUAGAUAGGUCAGUGUGAUGAAAAACAGGGGUUUUGAAACAACACGGGUGUUAGGUAAUCUGCAAGUACAGAAAGGAGUUUAGCUUGGCUGGGGCAUAGGGAUAAGACCAGAGAGAGAGAGAGUUAGAGCCUUUUGUGCCAUAGGGAAGAAUUUGGAUUUCAUUCUGUAGACAACUGUGUAGAAAUGAGUUAGACAUGGGAGAAGCAUGAUCAUCACUCUGGUAGGAAGGUGGUACACAUGUUGGAGCAGAGCUUGUAGGAGACAAGAAGACCAAUCAGGAGACUAUUUCAGUGUUGCAGUGAGAGAAAGGAAAGGCCUAAAGUAAGGUUGAUACGGUGGGCAGAGGGGGAAAAUAUGGAUUUGAAGUAUACUGAACAUGACUUAAUUACUAGUUUAAUAUCGACAGGCACAGUGGAGAAAGUUAUAUUACUGCAUUUUAUCACCUCUAAGAUAUCAUUGAUAUAAAGGACACCAGCAUCUAAGGCACUAUUUAAAGAAAAGAAUUUCAUCUAAUUGAAUUAGGAUACACCACUGAUUGUCAAACACAUUCUGGUUUCAGAGAUGUGAAAAGAUUUUUAUCUUAGAAUCACUGAAAGUUGGUAAUAGCUACUAUUUGUAAGUUCUUUGUGCCAGGCAUUGUGCUGAGAAUCUUGCUUUGAUUAUUUCACUUAAUAGCCUCAAAAGUUUGUGAAUUGUUUCUGAGUUAGAAAAACAAAAACUCCAACUUCUUUUUAUGAGCUGGGUAUAACAUUGAUACCAGACCUGGCAAAGAUAACAUAGAGACUAAUCUCAGUCAGGAACAUUGACAACACGUCUUAAAUGAAAAACUUGUAAACAUGAUCCAACAGCACAUCAAAGAACUGAUUUUUACAUCAUGGUCAAGUUGAUUUCAUUUCUGUAGGUGUAGGAAGAGAUUUAAAUCCACACUUUAUAAAGGCUCAGUAAAAGAGUAAUGAAUGGUUAAUUCUGUAAUUACAUGUAUGUGUUGUCUUUUCUUGAAAGCCAGGACCAUGCUUAAUAUGAAAACAUCGAAGUAUUUACAAUAGGGAAGACAGAAGACAAAAAGGCUAUUUCUACUAUUCUAAGUUCUAAGUUUGUUCUACACACUUCAGCAAAUAUAAAUAAAGUAAAAUAGAGGUAUUAAGUGUAAAAAGAAAAGAUGAAAUGAUGAUUAUCUGAAUAUGAGAUAAUUUAUACCUGGAAAAUAUAAGAGAACCAACUAAGAAAAUACAUUAAAGAGUAAGAGAAUCAGUAAGUUAGCUGGACAUAAAAUUAACAUGCAGCCAUAUUCAUCAUUAUAGACAACAUCUAUCAAAAAUAAAUCACAAAAAACCCCUAUAAGUGCACAAAUUGACUCAGCAGUUACAUUUCUAAGAAUUCAGUCUAUGGCUUUAUUAACACUUUUGCAAAAUGGUGUUUUAUGUUCAAGAUCAUUCAUUGCUGUAUUGUUUGUGGUAGUAAAAGACUGGAAACAGCCCAAGUUACAUCAGUAGGCAGCUGGUUAAUAAGAUAUGGGACACGCACACAAUAUAAUGCCAUGAAGCUAUGAAAAAAAUUUCCACUGAUAUUGAAAUACACUUAAGGUAUAUUAUGUGAAAAUAAAAAGUGAGUUUAUGUUACCUUUUAUGUUAACAAGGUGGAAACAAGAGUGAAUAAUCUUAUUUGUUUGGGUAUGGAGAGUUUAGAAAGUUACAUAAAACACUAAAAAAAGGACUGCCUAAAGCAGGGAGUGAGUGAGAAGCAGGUAAAUCUGGAGCAAAGGUGGGAAGCCAGCUUUUCACUUUAUAAAAGCUAUUUUUUUUUUUUUUUAGGAUUUAUUUAUUUAUUUGAGAGAGAGAGAGAGAGAGAGAGAGAGUAUGUGCAAGUUGGGGGGAAAGGAGGGAGGGAGAAAGAGAAUCUCAAGCAGGUUUCCUGCUGAGCACAGACAGAGCAGGGCUCUGUCCUACUGAGAUGCCUAAAUUAUAACCAUUACCGCUAUUUCUGCUUCUGUACCUUCGCUUGCUAUCCUAUGAGAAGGUGGAAAAAUACCAGCAGACUUUCUAUAGACACUCUGUAACCACACAUCCCCCGCCAAGGAUUGAACGUGAUAGAAUGGCUGCUCCCGGGGCCCCCCAUCCGGCUCUGGGCCAAGAGAUAACAGCCAUCUGACGCCAGAGAAAUCCCCACCCGGAAUUGGGCAUGACAGAAUGACAGCUCCUGGACCCCCCAUCCGGCUCUGGGCCAAGAGAUAACAACCAUCUGGCACCCUGCGGCUUGACAGAGAGACCCUGGCCAAUCCUGAGGUGACACAUACACUAGUGGCGCCAACUCAGCAGUUUGAAGAAUGACAGCCCUUUGACCUAACCAAUAAUCCGUUCCCAGCCUUUUCCUGCUCUGUAGCGCUCCAGUCAUAUUAUAGAGUUCCUUUUUGAUUUUCCCGCGGUAUGUGGCGAUUUGUUACAAGACACUAUGAUGUAUGCUAAGUCCCUGCCUCCCCAAAAAUAGUGUAUAAAAGGUGUUGUGAUCCCAAGCUCGGGACCUCUUAGCAUCACCGGCACGAGUGCGCGGAGGUCCGGGUUCGAACUCAUAAUAAAGGACCCCUGCUGUU